This 244-nucleotide long non-coding RNA is filed under the name Nicotiana benthamiana. RNAcentral describes it as "long non-coding RNA (NBEN_LNC001524)". The record is from RNAcentral. Lineage: Eukaryota; Viridiplantae; Streptophyta; Magnoliopsida; Solanales; Solanaceae.
GAGCAUAAAAAGAACAAAAGAAACAGACCACCCAUUGUAGAACAAACAUAGCAGAGAAAAGAGGCUCAGAUUCGAUCUACCAGAAAAAGAAAAAAAGAAGGCUAAUCCACCAUGACUGAAAAAGCAUAUGCCUUUGUGAGAGCAUAUGAGAACCCACCUCACAGAUACUGCUGCCUCUGCCUAGCAAAGAUGAAUCAGCUAUAAACUCCAACUUUCAAGCUUCCUGGAAUAUCACCAUAGCCUC